Molecule: long non-coding RNA, 244 nt
Filed under: Elaeis guineensis (African oil palm)
Lineage: Eukaryota; Viridiplantae; Streptophyta; Magnoliopsida; Arecales; Arecaceae
Description: long non-coding RNA (EGUI_LNC023295)
Source: RNAcentral
CCCGAGUUUGGAUGAGACGACUCCAAUAUGCAAAAUUUCAAAUGGCAUAAAGCUACAAGUUAACCCCAAGUUAUUACGAGUCGACCCUAAAUGGUCUUAGGUCUAAAGAUAGAGAGCACUAUUUUUUAGCUUGUUUUCAAGCCAACUCUCUCAGAUCAAGAGCCAACUUGAGCAAAUUUGGAGUCCAUCCCAAGUUUAGUUAAGUCAACCCCGAAUGGACUUAGGCAAAAUACAGAGAGAUACC